GGGGGCAAGAGGUUCGACUCGAGCGCAGCGAGAGAACGUUGCGUCAGCAACGGCCCGCAGGGCGAGCCACGCAGUGGCGAGUCAUCCUCUAUCACCGACCA
Molecule: small RNA, 101 nt
Filed under: Salmonella enterica
Lineage: Bacteria; Pseudomonadati; Pseudomonadota; Gammaproteobacteria; Enterobacterales; Enterobacteriaceae
Also listed under: 3 other names
Description: partial RtT sRNA
Rfam family: RtT RNA
About the family: This family represents a bacterial cis-regulatory element known as RtT RNA. The exact function of RtT is unknown although it is thought that it may be involved in changing the cellular response in relation to amino acid starvation.
Source: RNAcentral